AAUACAUUGUGAACCGCAACGUUAUCAAGCUAGGACCAGAUGCAAUUUACAAAUGUCCCGGAGGCAGAAAGCUCUUCUACAUCGCUAGCAACGUUGGUAGCAAUUUUACAGAAGCCUCCCACGCUUGCCAGAAGAGGGCUUACCAGUUGCCUGCUGGCAUAAUGAUAGACUGCAUGAGACGCUUUGAAGAAUCGCUGGGGUUUUCCAUCUCAAAGGGAGAGGGAACUUCUUGGACUGGAGCAUUUGAUACUCCUGACACAGCGUACGCCACAAGUGGGUAUACUUACUUCUUGUAUGUGAAACAACGCAGGAUCAUCUGUACUCCAUACUGAGUAUCCCCGCGGGGCGGCAUUCAGGCAGGCAGGUGAAGAAUUUCACUGGCCCAAGCGUGAACAAGGCAGGCGAUGGUCGUCCGAUCUCUUUCCCGUCACCACGCUCCUUCAAGCACACCACACAGCCCUGUCCCACCCCUCAUCCUUAACCCUUUUACCACUGCACAGUUGCCCUUUUUUGAUAAACAAGCCUUUUUUAAGUUUUAUUCAGGGUGCGCCGACUCCUCUGCUGCCAAUUCAUUUUCCAGUGUCACCAUACCUGUACAUGUAUGUUGUUGAUAGAGAAGUUCCCUAGAAGCCAGAAGUAGAAAACACCUCACUGCUCAUGCUGGCCGUUGAUUGUACAUUUCGUGAUAUGUUCCGACUAGCCAUUGCAAUCAAUCCUGGCUUUUUUCCUGAUCACGUUGAGAAUAACAGUCUUCAAUAUCUACAUAAUUAUAUGCGUGGGUACUACCAAGAGUUCUUAAGGUGACUCGCGCCUAUUUCUAAACUCGUCUUUUGCGCAGGUUCUCGCGCAUCCUACGUUCGAGAAAAGACAUGCAGAGUUGGCGUAGCGAGCUUGUAGCGCACUCCAGUUUCGAAGGGUCCAGCUCGAGCAGAUGGCCUGAGUACGAAACUCUCGUACUCGAGUCUAGAGUGUGAGCUUUUUUCUUCUUUUUUUUCACUCCUUCACUUGGCUAC
Molecule: long non-coding RNA, 1013 nt
Organism: Sycon ciliatum
Lineage: Eukaryota; Metazoa; Porifera; Calcarea; Leucosolenida; Sycettidae
Exons: 3
Source: RefSeq, a predicted model, not a curated record